UUUGAUGGCGACCGGCGCACGGGUGAGUAACACGUAUCCAACCUGCCGAUGACUCGGGGAUAGCCUUUCGAAAGAAAGAUUAAUACCCGAUGGCAUAGUUCUUCCGCAUGGUAGAACUAUUAAAGAAUUUCGGUCAUCGAUGGGAUGCGUUCCAUUAGGUUGUUGGCGGGGUAACGGCCCACCAAGCCUUCGAUGGAUAGGGGUUCUGAGAGGAAGGUCCCCCACAUUGGAACUGAGACACGGUCCAA
RNAcentral lists this ribosomal RNA (248 nucleotides) under uncultured bacterium. RNAcentral's name for it is "partial 16S ribosomal RNA". It matches the Rfam family "Bacterial small subunit ribosomal RNA", at positions 84 to 334 of the family's 1533-position model. The record is from RNAcentral.